This 402-nucleotide ribosomal RNA is filed under the name uncultured bacterium. Its description in RNAcentral is "bacterial SSU rRNA". It matches the Rfam family "Bacterial small subunit ribosomal RNA", at positions 355 to 754 of the family's 1533-position model. The record is from RNAcentral.
UGGGGAAUUUUGGACAAUGGGGGCAAUCUUGAUCCAGCCAUGCCGCGUGCGGGAAGAAGGCGCUACGCGUUGUAAACUGCUUUUAAAUCGGAAAGAAACCCCGGGACGUGUCCCGGGUUGACGGUACCGAUGGAAUAAGCACCGGCUAACUUCGUGCCAGCAGCCGCGGUAAUACGAAGGGUGCAAGCGUUAUCCGGAUUCAUUGGUUUAAAGGGUGCGUAGGCGGAACAAUAAGUCAGCGGUGAAAGCCCGCAGCUUAACUGCGGAAUUGCCGUUGAUACUGUUGUUCUUGAGUACGUUUGACGUGGGCGGAAUGUGCCGUGUAGCGGUGAAAUGCUUAGAUAUGGCACAGAACACCGAUAGUGAAGACAGCUCACGAAGACGAAACUGACGCUGAGGCAC